Long non-coding RNA from Cavia porcellus (domestic guinea pig), 596 nucleotides. RefSeq lists it as uncharacterized. The transcript is spliced from 3 exons. The record is from RefSeq and is a predicted model, not a curated record. Lineage: Eukaryota; Metazoa; Chordata; Mammalia; Rodentia; Caviidae.
GCUUCCGAAGGAGAGAGCCUGUGUCCAGCGGUGCUCCAGCUCAGGCUUCUGCAGCCCUGCACCCUUUCCUGUCAAAACGCGUGGAGUCAGGCUUGCACAACAUGACCUGCGGACCCAGAGUCAUUACCAAAAGUCACGUCUUGAAAUGUUGCCAUGCCACCCUGUCUUGGAACCAACUGAUUAUGGAAUGAAACCUUACAAACUCUCUUAUACAAGGCCAAGAAGAGAAACGAAGCUAAGCUCACACCUGUGAGCCUGUCAAAACAUGGACCAGGGAGAACCAGGAGGAAGCUAAGCCCCUACCUGUGAGCCACCCUGAGCAAGGAAUGGGGAGAACCAGGAAGGAAGCUCAACCCCGCCUGUGAGCUAGCCAGAGUACAGGCUGGGGAAGAACAGCCCCCUACCUCACCACCACCACCAGGAGCAACCAGCUGAUUUGGAGGAACUGGAUUAUUUGAUUGACUUUGCAAGCCUAAAGCCAGCAGUCUGAGCAACUGUUUAGAACACGACAAUAUGCAAUACAGUAACUAUGGUAAUUUCCUAUCUUCUGAUAGCUAUUUUAAUUCAUGUUAUUGUUCUGUUUUAGUCCCUUUAAA